RNAcentral lists this ribosomal RNA (450 nucleotides) under uncultured bacterium. RNAcentral's name for it is "partial 16S ribosomal RNA". It matches the Rfam family "Bacterial small subunit ribosomal RNA", at positions 354 to 796 of the family's 1533-position model. The record is from RNAcentral.
GUGGGGAAUAUUGGACAAUGGGCGAAAGCCUGAUCCAGCCAUGCCGCGUGUGUGAAGAAGGUCUUCGGAUUGUAAAGCACUUUAAGUUGGGAGGAAGGGCAGUAAGUUAAUACCUUGCUGUUUUGACGUUACCGACAGAAUAAGCACCGGCUAACUUCGUGCCAGCAGCCGCGGUAAUACGAAGGGUGCAAGCGUUAAUCGGAAUUACUGGGCGUAAAGCGCGCGUAGGUGGUUUUGUAAGUUGGAGGUGAAAUCCCCGGGCUCAACCUGGGAACUGCCUCCAAAACUGCAUGACUAGAGUACGGUAGAGGGGAGUGGAAUUUCCUGUGUAGCGGUGAAAUGCGUAGAUAUAGGAAGGAACACCAGUGGCGAAGGCGACUACCUGGACUGAUACUGACACUGAGGUGCGAAAGCGUGGGGAGCAAACAGGAUUAGAAACCCUGGUAGUCC